Molecule: long non-coding RNA, 2076 nt
Organism: Prionailurus viverrinus (fishing cat)
Lineage: Eukaryota; Metazoa; Chordata; Mammalia; Carnivora; Felidae
Exons: 3
Source: RefSeq, a predicted model, not a curated record
AUUUACACACCUCUCUCUCUCUCUCCCUAUCUCUGUCUUUGUCUCAUGCGCAUGCUCAUGCUUACACAUACUCCACGUGUUCAUGGAAUAACUGAGAGAAUUCAGGAAAGGACUCCUCCAGCUAGACCUAUAUGCUUUCUCCUCACUGGCCUGAGGUUCUGCUAACUGAAUCCAUUCCUCCUUGUCAGGCUCUCUGUCUUGAACAAUUGUCAGUUCAAAUGAAAAUGCUCCUAAAAUAAGAGUUUGUGGAGUCCAUGAACUACCCCACAUCAAGCUAAUGAGCUAAUAUUGUUCAUUAGCAUCAUAUUGACAAAUAGUUUAAAUUUACUUGGAGGAAUAAUUAUUAUCGUUUUGAGGGCACCUACAAGUUUUGAGGGCACUGUCUAGGCACUGUGAGGAGUAUCAGGACCACUCAGUCUCCUACCCAGUGGGACGUGAAAGAGACAGGUCAAGGACAAGAAGACAGAGAAAAUAAGGUUAUAAUAGAAGAGAUAGAGGAAGAGAUGACAACAGGUGGAAAAGGAAAUUAAAACAGAAAACCAGAAAAUGUCAAAGGCAAAUUUCCUCUCUUACAGUUUUGCAUGGCAUGACCAAAGAGCCAAAAUAUAGCAACAAUUUGUCAAAUCUGCUUUCCUUCACCUGCCCUUUUGCAGACCAGAGAGCCUUGCAAGAAUAAGAAAAAUCAGUCAUGCCCAUGACUAUGUUUUUAAUUGCAGAAAUAUCUGACAUACUUACCCAAACAUUUGUCUCUAUGAAUAAAGGGAUGCUAUUAAGGAUUGCAUAGAAUUGCAAGGCUUUUGCAUAAGGUUUUAUGAAAUUUUAGUUAUUAAUAUAAUUGCUGUUGAAACAUGAAACUGAGACACAUCUCUGCACGACAAAAACAUAACCACUUCUUCUCUGCCUGAUUCUUUCACUUGUGUGCUAAAAUAAACUAGAGGCGGCUGAAGUUUAGAACAGUUUUUCAGAACUGUAAAUCCUGUUGAGUGUAAGCCACUUAGAGAAGGGUGAUUGGUCGAAGAUUAUUGGUCUCUUUCAGAUGGUAUCAAAUUAAGGGCUGGAUUCAGCUCCUGGAGUCUGUGAUAGCAAUUACAGAUGGAGCGAACUUCAAACGCUUUGGAGCUUGUGUCUAAUUCAGAGUAACACAUGACAUCUUGGACAGAUCCCGACAUGCUUAUGAAAGUAUAAAUGGAGUUGGAAAUCUCACGAAAUAAGUUAAAGAUAUCAUCCUUUAUGAGUGUGGGGAUGAGAAGAUAGGGGUAGUUCUCUGUCUGAUUACCAUUUUCUUCAGAGGAAAAGAGGAAGACAACUGAAAUACAAAAUAAAGGCCAAGGAAAAUUUGUUCCUGUAUGAUCCCAUUCCAGUGCUUGAAAAAGCAGAGCAAACAUUACAUAAUCCCUGCUGAUUGAAGGAUAAUGAAUAUUCAGUUUUCAAAAUCACUUCCAGAUAACAUCGGCCACUUAAAAUUAGUUUAAGUACUUUAAUGUGUUUUAAUCGGAAAUGGAUGAAAUCGAAGUGGUACUUCUCUACUAAAUGAAGGUGUUUGGUUUAUAGGAAUUAUUUCAGUAAGAUAGUCCUAAAUGUUACCAUCUGAGAAUAAACAGCAACCUAUCAACACUUCUUACGUAUGUACACGACAGACCAGUGACACUCAGAAUGCAGGCCUCCUUCCCCUGCUGCCAGGCAGGCCCUGUACCCGCUUCUGGUUGAUGGACUGGGAAGACUUGGCAGAAUGUGAUCAUCCAGGAAAGGCCUCAUUUGUUCUCUUCCCCUGCUGAAGCAGUCAUAGGACAGGUGAGAUGACAGAUCCCUGACAUCAAAACAAAUGGGCUCCUGGGUGACCACGUGGAGGACAAUUGCACAAUUGGUCUGACAAGGCAAUCAGACUUCCAGUAGACUUUGCACAAAAGAAAAAUAAUGCUUCUUUUGUAUUAAGUUGCUGUGAUUUAGGUGCUAUUUGUCACUGCACCAUAACCUAUCCUAGUCUGAUGAAUACCGUAUGGACUGAAGAAACAUGUUUAACAAUGCCAGAAUGCUAACAACAUAGUAACCUCAUUUAAAAAAAAUUUUUUUAACAUU